Molecule: RNA transcript, 2459 nt
Organism: Balaenoptera musculus (blue whale)
Lineage: Eukaryota; Metazoa; Chordata; Mammalia; Artiodactyla; Balaenopteridae
Gene: RITA1
Gene name: RBPJ interacting and tubulin associated 1
Exons: 4
Source: RefSeq, a predicted model, not a curated record
GCGUGGGGGGGGCGCCUUUACGCGGCCCAGGCUGCGUUCCCUCACCUUCUGGAGCUUCCGGAGGCUUGGCAUGCAUACACACAUACGCACACACACACUCCCCUCAUUGGCGCGGGAGACCCCUCUCCGAGGCUUUGGGGAGCUCCGGGGGCGUCCGGAACAGGGUGACCUAAUCCCCCCACCCGGGAGCGAAUGGUUCUGGCCGCCCCGCCCCGCCUUACCGCUCGCGGGUUGCUGUUUGAUGCGCGCGCGGAGCAAACAUCGCUAGGGCUUGGCUUCCCGGGUUGAGUCUGCCCGCGCGGUCCCCCAGGCGGGGGCCGGGGGCGGCCUGAGCUGCCGGGGGUCGCGUGCUCCUGGGGUUCAGAGCUGCAGAUCUCGGAUGAACCGCGCGCCACAGGUGCCCAAGCGUCCCCGCAAAGGAGUCCAGGCCUGGGGGAAGGGGGCGCUGUGGGUUGCGGCCGACGUCAGCCAGCCAAGAUGCUCAGCUUUGUAGGUGGGACUUACACUUGUGACUUCAUCUUUUGAAGCCUCAGUUUUGUCAUCUGUAGAAUGGACAUAAUGGAAGCUACCUCACAGGACUGCUGAGAAGAUUAAAUGAGACAAUGCUUGUAGAGCUCUUUGCAGGAGUCCUGCAGGCACCCAGCCCACACCACCAGUCUUUGACCCACCCUGGAUGAGGAAGGCCAGCAGAACCAGAGGAGUGGGUACAGGGGCGUCACAGGCCUCAGGGGCCAACGGGAGCUGUGAGACUACCUCCUCCAGGGACAAGACCCUGACCCUCGCACCAAGGAAGAAGAACAAAUACAGUUCUGGAGGCUUGAAGUCCAAGGUCAAGACGCCAGCAGGGUUGGUUUCUCCUGAAGCCUACCUAUCCUUGGGUUGCAGAUGGCCACCUAUUCACUGGGUCCUCCCAUGGGCUUUUCUCUGUGAGCGUGUACACUCCUGGUGCCUCUUCCUCUUCUUAUAAGGACACAAAUACUAUUGGAUUAGGGCCUCACCUUUAUGGCCUCAUUUAACCUUAAUUACCUCUUUAAAAUUCAGCAUGAAUUUUGGGAGGAUGCAAUUCAGUCCAUAAUAACUAGCCAAUCAUAUUUAGGAUCCAUUCUGAGCCAAGAGGCACAUAUAUUAGUUGAGAAUGGGAAUAGUGUUUAUUUAAGGAGAUAAAAUUCAACAGAGAUAAAAGCAAGUCCCCAUUAUUAUCAUGUCCACCUGACAAUUGCCGUGGACCACAAGGCAGGCUCAGGUUGACAUUAGCAGCACUGACAGCUACAACAUGGCUGAAAAUGCUGGUGUCAGCGUAAGCUGCAUUAACAGAAGUAUGGUGUCCAAAACAAGGGAGAUAACAGUCAACCCUAUGCUCUCCUGGAGGAUGGAAUUUUAUGCUGGAUGCUGACAAGCAGAGGAUGUCAAGUUAGAAGGUACAUAAGAGUUAGAGACGCUAUUGAGCAGCAACUUUGGUACCAGACAGACAUAGGUAUCAACCAGGUAUGGUUUUGAACAGCUAAAUCAAGCGGCAAAAGGUUGACAUUUCAAAGACUUGCAGUUUGGGAAUGGAAGCACUUUUAGUCCUGGCCAAAAACCAUGGACCUGACACCUCAUAGGUAUGCCAUGAAUAUUUGUGGGACUAAUAAAAAAAAAUUGCUGAAUGAAUCUAGUUAAAGGUGAGAGGCCUAGAAGGCACUUAAGUCUGACUGAGUGAUCAAGAGCUUGGGUCCUUGAGCAGGGGGCUGGAUUUGAAUCUUGUGUGUACCCUCCUUUUUACCCUCCCUAUGCCUCAGUUUUCUUGUCUGUAAAAUGAGAUUAUAUCGCCCUCCUGUGGGUGUUGUGAGAAAUGAGAUGACACACAAGUGACAUGCUGAGUCCUGGACCUACACAUGAAAAGCCCUGAGUAAAUAUGCAAAAAUUUUAAAAGCUGCUCUGGUGAUGAGGCCAGAUCACAGAGGUUCAAACUGAGAACCCUCUACAUGCCAGGUGCUAGGCUGUGCAAUUUCAAAUAUAUAGUUGGAAGGGCCGCAUGACUGGAGAGGGUUCGGCUGACAAGGCCGCUACAAAAAGGGAAAAGUGGUGGGUUAAGAGAAAAAGUGAAGGCUAUAAAGACUAAGGUUGUAUUAAUCAGGACUCUUGGUUGCAAGUGACAGAAGACUUACCCAAACUGGCUUCAGCAGAAAAAGGGCAUUUGGGGCUCAUAUAACAGGGACUCAAAACGUUCUUGGGAUUUUGUCUCUGUUUUCGUGCAGCUUUCCCCUGCACAUCCCAGGUGAGAUAGCCACCAGCCAUUUAGCCCUUGUAUCCUGCCAGUUCUUCAGGGCUAGGUGGAAGAAAAACAUUUCUCUCCUAGUAGUUUCUGCAAAGGUCCUAAGGCAGACCCUUAUUGUGCAGAAUGGGUCAUGUGGUUAUUCCUGAGCCAAUCAGCGUGGUCAGGAGGAUGGGAUAUGCAAACUGGCCUGGCCUGGGGCACA